Molecule: non-coding RNA, 113 nt
Organism: Acanthosepion pharaonis
Lineage: Eukaryota; Metazoa; Mollusca; Cephalopoda; Sepiida; Sepiidae
Source: the annotation of a GenBank genome assembly
UUACGGCCAUAUUACAAUAAAGCAUCGGUUCUCGUACGAUCUCCGCAGUUAAGCAACCUCGAACCCGGUCAGUACUUAGAUGAGGGACCGCUUGGCACUAACAGGUACUGUGA